This 500-nucleotide ribosomal RNA is filed under the name uncultured Glomeromycotina. RNAcentral describes it as "partial small subunit ribosomal RNA". It matches the Rfam family "Eukaryotic small subunit ribosomal RNA", at positions 591 to 1092 of the family's 1831-position model. The record is from RNAcentral. Lineage: Eukaryota; Fungi; Glomeromycota.
CCAAUAGCGUAUAUUAAAGUUGUUGCAGUUAAAAAGCUCGUAGUUGAAUUUCGGGAUCAAUGCGUCGGUCGUGCCUUCGGUACGUACUAGCGUCAUUGAUUCCUCCCUUCUGAAGAACCGUGAUGUCAUUAAUUUGGUGUUACGGGGAAUCAGGACUGUUACCUUGAAAAAAUUAGAGUGUUUAAAGCAGGCUAACGCUUGAAUACAUUAGCAUGGAAUAAUGAAAUAGGACGUUCGAACCUAUUUUGUUGGUUUCUAGGAUCGACGUAAUGAUUAAUAGGGAUAGUUGGGGGCAUUAGUAUUCAAUUGUCAGAGGUGAAAUUCUUGGAUUUAUUGUAGACUGACUACUGCGAAAGCAUUUGCCAAGGAUGUUUUCAUUAACCAAGAACGAAAGUUAGGGGAUCGAAGACGAUCAGAUACCGUCGUAGUCUUAACCAUAAACUAUGCCGACUAGGGAUCGGAUGAUGUUAAUUUCAUAAUGACUCAUUCGGCGCCUUACG